Molecule: ribosomal RNA, 1159 nt
Filed under: uncultured bacterium
Lineage: Bacteria
Description: bacterial SSU rRNA
Rfam family: Bacterial small subunit ribosomal RNA
Source: RNAcentral
GAUCCUGGCUCAGGAUGAACGCUGGCGGCAGGUUUGACACAUGCAAGUUGAGCGACAAGCAGGUGCUUGCACCUGUGGAGGAGCAGCAAACGGCUGAGUAACACGUAGGAACCUACCCUCAGGACCGGGAUAACAAGCCGAAAGGCCUGCUAAUACCGGAUAUAUUCUUCGGAAGGAAAUGGUCCGCCGCCUGAGGAGGGGCCUGCGGCGCAUUAGUUAGAUGGUGAGGUAAUGGCUCACCAUGGCUGUGAUGCGUAGCUGGUCUGAGAGGACGAUCAGCCAGACUGGGACUGAGACACGGCCCAGACUCCUACGGGAGGCAGCAGUUCAGAAUCUUGCCCAAUGGACGAAAGUCUGAGGCAGCCAUGCCGCGUGUGUGAAGAAGGCCCUCGGGUCGUAAAGCACUGUCAGGAGGGACGAUAGUGACGGUACCUCCUAAGGAAGCCACGGCUAGUUACGUGCCAGCAGCCGCGGUAAUACGUAAGUGGCGAGCGUUAUCCGGAUUUACUGGGCAUAAAGCGUUCGUAGGCGGCGUAGUAAGUUGGAUUUGAAAGACCGGGGCUCAACUCCAGAACCGGAUCCAAAACUACUAUGCUAGAGCGUAUCAGAGGGCAGUGGAAUUCCCGGUGUAACGGUAAUAUGCGUAGAUAUCGGGAGGACCCCAGUGGCGAAGGCGACUGCCUGGUGUACUGCUGACGCUGAGGAAACGAAAGCUAGGGGAGCGAACGGGAUUAGAUCCCCCGUAGUUCCUAGCCGUAAAACGUUGGGCACUAGGUGUCGGGAGCUUCGACCCUCUCGGUGCCGCCGCUAAACGCAUUAAGUGCCCCGCCUGGGAAGUACGGCCGCAAGGUUAAAACUCAAAGGAAUUGACGGGUCCCCGCACAAGCAGUGGAGCAUGUGGUUUAAUUCGAUGCUACGCGAAGAACCUUACACCGGACUUGACAUCCCCAUGGAAAGUCCUGGUUAACCGCCGGGCCCCCUUCCGGGCCGUGGAUGACAACAGGUGCCACAUGGCUGUCGUCAGCUCGUGCCGUGAGGUGUUGGAUUAAGUUCCGCAACGAGCGCAACCCUCGUCGUUAGUAGCCAUCAUUAAGUUGGGCACUCUAGCGAGACUGCCAUCGCCAAGAUGGAGGAAGGUGGGGAUGACGUCAAGUCAUCA